RNAcentral lists this ribosomal RNA (471 nucleotides) under uncultured bacterium. Its description in RNAcentral is "bacterial SSU rRNA". It matches the Rfam family "Bacterial small subunit ribosomal RNA", at positions 29 to 520 of the family's 1533-position model. The record is from RNAcentral.
AACGAACGCUGGCGGCAGGCCUAACACAUGCAAGUCGAGCGAACCCUUCGGGGUUAGCGGCGGACGGGUUAGUAACGCGUGGGAAUAUACCCUUUGGUACGGAAUAGCCUCGGGAAACUGAGAGUAAUACCGUAUGUGCCCUUCGGGGGAAAGAUUUAUCGCCAAAGGAUUAGCCCGCGUUGGAUUAGAUAGUUGGUGGGGUAAUGGCCUACCAAGUCUACGAUCCAUAGCUGGUUUGAGAGGAUGAUCAGCAACACUGGGACUGAGACACGGCCCAGACUCCUACGGGAGGCAGCAGUGGGGAAUAUUGGACAAUGGGCGCAAGCCUGAUCCAGCAAUGCCGCGUGUGUGAAGAAGGCCUGCGGGUUGUAAAGCACUUUCAGUGGGGAAGAACAGAUUCGGGUCAAUACCCCGGAGCCCUGACGUUACCCACAGAAGAAGCACCGGCUAACUCCGUGCCAGCAGCCGCGG